UACGUAGGGUGCAAGCGUUGUCCGGAUUUAUUGGGCGUAAAGAGCUCGUAGGCGGUUUGUCGCGUCUGCUGUGAAAACUCGGGGCUUAACCCCGGGCCUGCAGUGGGUACGGGCAGACUAGAGUGCGGUAGGGGAGACUGGAAUUCCUGGUGUAGCGGUGAAAUGCGCAGAUAUCAGGAGGAACACCGAUGGCGAAGGCAGGUCUCUGGGCAUUAACUGACGCUGAGGAGCGAAAGCAUGGGGAGCGAACAGG
RNAcentral lists this ribosomal RNA (253 nucleotides) under uncultured bacterium. RNAcentral's name for it is "partial 16S ribosomal RNA". It matches the Rfam family "Bacterial small subunit ribosomal RNA", at positions 524 to 776 of the family's 1533-position model. The record is from RNAcentral.